UACAGAGGGGGCAAGCGUUAUUCGGAAUUAUUGGGCGUAAAGGGCGCGUAGGCGGCCAUUCAAGUGACGGGUGAAAGCCCUCGGCUUAACCGAGGAACUGCCUGUCAGACUGUAAGGCUUGAGACCGGGAGAGGUGAGUGGAAUUCCCAGUGUAGCGGUGAAAUGCGUAGAUAUUGGGAGGAACACCAGUGGCGAAGGCGGCUCACUGGACCGGAACUGACGCUGAGGCGCGAAAGCGUGGGGAGCAAACAGG
Molecule: ribosomal RNA, 253 nt
Filed under: uncultured bacterium
Lineage: Bacteria
Description: partial 16S ribosomal RNA
Rfam family: Bacterial small subunit ribosomal RNA
Source: RNAcentral